RNAcentral lists this ribosomal RNA (253 nucleotides) under uncultured bacterium. RNAcentral's name for it is "partial 16S ribosomal RNA". It matches the Rfam family "Bacterial small subunit ribosomal RNA", at positions 524 to 776 of the family's 1533-position model. The record is from RNAcentral.
GACGAAGGGGGCUAGCGUUGUUCGGAAUUACUGGGCGUAAAGCGCGUGUAGGCGGUUGUUCAAGUCAGGUGUGAAAGCCUUGAGCUCAACUCAAGAAAUGCACUUGAUACUGGAUGACUAGAGGACCGGAGAGGAUAGUGGAAUUCCCAGUGUAGUGGUGAAAUACGUAGAGAUUGGGAAGAACACCAGUGGCGAAGGCGGCUAUCUGGGCAUUUCCUGACGCUGAGACGCGAAAGCGUGGGGAGCGAACCGG